RNAcentral lists this long non-coding RNA (966 nucleotides) under Elaeis guineensis (African oil palm). RNAcentral describes it as "long non-coding RNA (EGUI_LNC006562)". Lineage: Eukaryota; Viridiplantae; Streptophyta; Magnoliopsida; Arecales; Arecaceae. The record is from RNAcentral.
AUUAUAUGAGUGGUAAAUGUAAUCUUGGAGAUGCUCUAUGGAUUGGUUUCAGAGGUGAGGUGCAAAAACUUUAAAAAACCUUUUCUGGAAAAAUAAAUGAUACAAAUUUUGAUUGUAAAACAAAAAUCAGUCACCGAUAAUGAUAUGCUUAUUCCACUGUCAGACAAAUUUAAAUUUUAACACCACUGCUGGUACAAAGCUAGGAUGAAAAUAUGGAGACUUGAUGUUAGAUUGACAGUCAUUCAUACAAGGGAUGUCAAAUUAUGAAGUGAAUUCCAAUUCAACUUGGACAAUGAGAACAUAUAAAGCCAACAUCAAAUAAUUGUGACAAGUCUUGAUGGUUUUCAGGGACCACAAAGAGAAUCAUAAUGAAGAAGACUCACCAUCCUCAUGGACUCAUUCUUGCUUUGCUUCCGAAAGUAACAUUAACCUCAUUAAUGGUUGCAUGGCUGCCUCUUUGCUUGCUAAUCAGAUGUCUAAAUCUGCUUCUGUCUUUUCCACCAGAAAACCAUAUGGAAUCUCUGCUUCUCCAGGCACCAAUGUUAAAAGUUCCUCAAACAUCACAUGCCUUGCAUCUGGCUCUGGAAGAGGGAUGAUGAUCUGAUGGAACAUGGUAUGAAAACCAGUUUUGUGCACAAACAAGCAAGCUCUUUCAAACAACCCCAUGACAUGGGUCUCAGUCUCACCAUAUGGAUCAGUAAAUUGCCCAGGCUAAAUAUUCUUCUAACAUUUCUCAAUAUUUCUUAGGGCAAACAGAUAUUGUUAAAAGAAAAUUCUAGAAUUGCUUAGAUGAUAACCCAACUACUCCAUGGAUGAGAUAAAAGGUGGAUAUCUAGUUUCUAACGGUGUCUAACAUGUAGAAAAAGUAAUUUUUCACCAGAAAAAUUCUUCUUCAAUACUAAGGUAUUCUUUGUUUCUCUUUAUGUUCCUUUCAUUUUGAAAUCAACCUUAAAAAAUGAAUUCAAA